AAUGAUGUUUUGUGGAAGAUGAUAAGUGAUGAGGAUGAACAAACAAAGAUUAGUAAGCAAGCUGAUGACUACGAAAGGUCCGAAGGAGAUUGCUUCUCCAAGCAAGGAGCAAUAAGAGAUAGAGAUAAAAAAAUCCUAUUUGUUGGUGGGGUUCAUAUGGUGGCCUAGCAUUCGAGCUCCAAAGUUUAGCAAAAAGGAUUAUUAGCCUUUGUUGUUCUGCAUCUGGGUGUGAACGUAACUGGAGUGUGUUUUCUAAUAUCCAUACCAAAAAGAGAAACAGGUUGGA
Long non-coding RNA from Panicum virgatum (switchgrass), 286 nucleotides. RefSeq lists it as uncharacterized. The record is from RefSeq and is a predicted model, not a curated record. NCBI's taxonomy places the organism in Eukaryota, Viridiplantae, Streptophyta, Magnoliopsida, Poales, Poaceae. The transcript is spliced from 3 exons.